UGGGGAAUUUUGGACAAUGGACGCAAGUCUGAUCCAGCCAUGCCGCGUGCGGGAAGAAGGCCUUCGGGUUGUAAACCGCUUUUGUCAGGGAAGAAACGAGUUUCUCUAAUACAGAGACUUAAUGACGGUACCUGAAGAAUAAGCACCGGCUAACUACGUGCCAGCAGCCGCGGUAAUACGUAGGGUGCAAGCGUUAAUCGGAAUUACUGGGCGUAAAGCGUGCGCAGGCGGUUAUGCAAGACAGAGGUGAAAUCCCCGGGCUCAACCUGGGAACUGCCUUUGUGACUGCAUAGCUAGAGUACGGUGGAGGGGGAUGGCAUACCGCGUGUAGCGGUGAGAUACGUAGAUAUGCGGAGGAGCACCGAUAGCGAGAGCGAUCCCCUGGACCUGUUCUGACGCUCAUACACGAGAGCGUGGGGAGCAAACA
This 427-nucleotide ribosomal RNA is filed under the name uncultured bacterium. RNAcentral's name for it is "bacterial SSU rRNA". It matches the Rfam family "Bacterial small subunit ribosomal RNA", at positions 355 to 774 of the family's 1533-position model. The record is from RNAcentral.